AACGAACGCUGGCGGCAGGCCUAACACAUGCAAGUCGAGCGAGGACUUCGGUCCUAGCGGCGGACGGGUGAGUAACGCGUGGGAACGUGCCCUUUGCUUCGGAACAGCCCUGGGAAACUGGGAGUAAUACCGGAUGAGCCCUUUGGGGGAAAUAUUUAUCGGCGAAGGAUCGGCCCGCGUUGGAUUAGGUAGUUGGUGGGGUAAUGGCCUACCAAGCCGACGAUCCAUAGCUGGUUUGAGAGGAUGAUCAGCCACACUGGGACUGAGACACGGCCCAGACUCCUACGGGAGGCAGCAGUGGGGAAUCUUAGACAAUGGGGGAAACCCUGAUCUAGCCAUGCCGCGUGAGCGAUGAAGGCCUUAGGGUUGUAAAGCUCUUUCAGCUGGGAAGAUAAUGACGGUACCAGCAGAAGAAGCCCCGGCUAACUCCGUG
RNAcentral lists this ribosomal RNA (433 nucleotides) under uncultured bacterium. RNAcentral's name for it is "partial 16S ribosomal RNA". It matches the Rfam family "Bacterial small subunit ribosomal RNA", at positions 29 to 507 of the family's 1533-position model. The record is from RNAcentral.